RNAcentral lists this ribosomal RNA (1010 nucleotides) under Leptosillia sp. 3 MK-2023. RNAcentral describes it as "SSU rRNA". It matches the Rfam family "Eukaryotic small subunit ribosomal RNA", at positions 75 to 1095 of the family's 1831-position model. Lineage: Eukaryota; Fungi; Ascomycota; Sordariomycetes; Xylariales; Leptosilliaceae. The record is from RNAcentral.
UAUACCGCGAAACUGCGAAUGGCUCAUUAAAUCAGUUAUCGUUUAUUUGAUAGUACCUUACUACUUGGAUAACCGUGGUAAUUCUAGAGCUAAUACAUGCUAAAAAUCCCAACUUCGGAAGGGAUGUAUUUAUUAGAUUAAAAACCAAUGCCCUUCGGGGCUCUUUGGUGAUUCAUAAUAACUUCUCGAAUCGCAUGGCCUUGCGCCGGCGAUGGUUCAUUCAAAUUUCUGCCCUAUCAACUUUCGAUGGCAGGGUCUUGGCCUGCCAUGGUGACAACGGGUAACGGAGGGUUAGGGCUCGACCCCGGAGAUGGAGCCUGAGAAAUGGCUACAACAUCCAAGGAAGGCAGCAGGCGCGCAAAUUACCCAAUCCCGAUUCGGGGAGGUAGUGACAAUAAAUACUGAUACAGGGCUCUUUUGGGUCUUGUAAUUGGAAUGAGUACAAUUUAAAUCCCUUAACGAGGAACAAUUGGAGGGCAAGUCUGGUGCCAGCAGCCGCGGUAAUUCCAGCUCCAAUAGCGUAUAUUAAAGUUGUUGAGGUUAAAAAGCUCGUAGUUGAACCUUGGGCCUGGCUGGCCGGUCCGCCUCACCGCGUGCACUGGUUCGGCCGGGCCUUUCCCUCUGGGGAACCCCAUGCCCUUCACUGGGUGUGGUGGGGAACCAGGACUUUUACUGUGAAAAAAUUAGAGUGUUCAAAGCAGGCCUAUGCUCGAAUACAUUAGCAUGGAAUAAUAGAAUAGGACGUGUGGUUCUAUUUUGUUGGUUUCUAGGACCGCCGUAAUGAUUAAUAGGGACAGUCGGGGGCAUCAGUAUUCAAUCGUCAGAGGUGAAAUUCUUGGAUCGAUUGAAGACUAACUACUGCGAAAGCAUUUGCCAAGGAUGUUUUCAUUAAUCAGGAACGAAAGUUAGGGGAUCGAAGACGAUCAGAUACCGUCGUAGUCUUAACCAUAAACUAUGCCGACUAGGGAUCGGACGAUGUUAUUUUUUGACUCGUUCGGCACCUUACGAGA